CACGGGGGUUGGAGGGCAAGUCUGGUGCCAGCAGCCGCGGUAAUUCCAGCUCCAAUAGCGUAUAUUAAAGUUGUUGCAGUUAAAAAGCUUGUAGUUGAAUUUCGGGAUCAGUAGGUUGGUCAUGCCUAUGGUAUGUACUGGCUUUACUGGUUCCUCCUUCUUGAUGAUCUGUAAUGUCAUUAAUUUGGUGUUGCAGGGAGUCAGGACUGUUACUUUGAAAAAAUUAGAGUGUUUAAAGCAGGCAUACGCUUGAAUACAUUAGCAUGGAAUAAUGAAAUAGGACGUUCGAUCCUAUUUUGUUGGUUUCUAGGAUUGACGUAAUGAUUAAUAGGGAUAGUUGGGGGCAUUAGUAUUCAAUUGUCAGAGGUGAAAUUCUUGGAUUUAUUGAAGACUAAC
Molecule: ribosomal RNA, 396 nt
Filed under: uncultured Glomus
Lineage: Eukaryota; Fungi; Glomeromycota; Glomeromycetes; Glomerales; Glomeraceae
Description: SSU rRNA
Rfam family: Eukaryotic small subunit ribosomal RNA
Source: RNAcentral